CGGGGCGGGGGCACGGGGGGCCUACGGGAGGCAGCAGUGAGGAAUAUUGGACAAUGGGCAAAAGCCUGAUCCAGCAAUGUCACGUGAGUGAUGAAGCCGAUUUUUGGUGUAAAGCUCUUUUAAUAAAGAUGAUAAUGACAGUAUUAUAGAAAUGCGGUCCC
Molecule: ribosomal RNA, 161 nt
Filed under: uncultured bacterium
Lineage: Bacteria
Description: partial 16S ribosomal RNA
Rfam family: Bacterial small subunit ribosomal RNA
Source: RNAcentral